Molecule: long non-coding RNA, 402 nt
Filed under: Citrus maxima (pomelo)
Lineage: Eukaryota; Viridiplantae; Streptophyta; Magnoliopsida; Sapindales; Rutaceae
Description: long non-coding RNA (CMAX_LNC000858)
Source: RNAcentral
UCAAUUUCAUUCAUUGUUACAUACUUGCACUAAUCUUUUACAGUCUUUUGUUUUGUUUAGGAAUGAGGCUCAGGAGAUUUGUGGGCUCAGCGAUUCUGCUUCUGGCAAUAUACUGUCGUUCCUUUUGAAUAUUGCUCCUGACUUGACAGUCUCAUUUCCAUUGACAACACUGAGAAACAGCCCGAAGCCAGUUAAUUUUAGUUAACCGAAGAAUGAGCCUUUUGGACUCCGAUUGUAGAUGCAUAUUUUGGUCUGAUGAAGGCCCGUGCAGUAGGUGGAUUGGCAACAUCACUUGCAACAGAAGCUGAGGUUCGCCAAUGAUUUACACAUAUUGAUGAUGAUGGAGGAGGGAAUGUUUAUCUAACAUAGGUAUUGACUCAUCCAACAUAAUUCUUAUCACCG